UCCCAGACCCCUCACCUUCUGCCUCCCCUUGGUCGCGUCCGGGUCCCUGUGGAGCUAACGAUCUCGCCACGACGUCAAGAAAGACGUAACGUCGGGCCACUGUGGCCUCUGGGAAACGUAGUCCAGAGCCAGACCAGACGCAGAUAAGAUGGCGUCCUCAUACGGCGGAGUCUGAGUUUGGCCGUUUGACAUUGCGCCCGGGGGAGCUUCAAAGACGGAGUCCCUGCUCCAGACCUCCCACCAGGCUUCAGCUGAUUUUCUUCUAAAGCAGGACGACUCACCCUUAGAGCCCCAUAAUUACUGGAAGAAGCAGCCACGUUCGUGUGGGACAGAGUGCUGACCAGCAAAGCCUAAAGGGAAAUGUAGUUCAAGGCCGGAAAAGCGGCGUUGCUGUAGACCGAAGGUAAUCAAAUACCAGGCUAGGCCUGGCCACGGUGACCGUGAGGGCCGCGUCGCGGAGACUUCUGGGAGUGUUCGCUCGCCCUCGGAGUGCGCAGGCGCAGCGCGCCGAGUGGACAUUUUGGUCUUUGUCCGCGGGUCAGUCCGGCCCCUGGGUCCACGUGGCGCGAAAGUAGGAGCAAGCAAGACUAUUUCGAAGGCACUUUUUGUUGGUGGAAGAGCUUCAGACGAUCUCAAAUCUUCUGAUCUAAAGGGUAUUUUAAUAGGGCUGCUGUUAAAUUCUAGAUAAAAUAUCGACGUUGCACUUUGAGCAACAGCGGCAUAUGGCACAGAAAGCCCGGGAUUAGAGUCAAGGGUUUGGAGAUCUAGAUUAGGCAUGGUAAUCUUCAUUAUUUGAAGAAAAUUUAGUUGCUGCAAUGUUUAUUUACUAGUCUGACCUAGAUUCUAGGUGUCUGCCUCCUAAAUGAAUCGAGGUGUCCCAAGUUGGAUGGAUUUUGUGAAGUAACAAAGACCGUUAACUCCUGUCUGCAAAAAUGGUUUUUCUAAGAAAUCCCUACAGCUAUCCCUAACAAUUUAAAAAAAAAAAAAAGAGUUAAAUUAAUUGGGUACCAAUUUAAUAUUUACAAAUCAACAGUCUUCAAAUAAACAGCCAGUUAGGAGACA
This 1062-nucleotide long non-coding RNA is filed under the name Neogale vison (American mink). Its description in RNAcentral is "Neovison vison (American mink) lncRNA (ENSNVIG00000016051.1)". The record is from RNAcentral. Lineage: Eukaryota; Metazoa; Chordata; Mammalia; Carnivora; Mustelidae.